Molecule: ribosomal RNA, 588 nt
Filed under: Salmonella enterica subsp. enterica serovar Typhimurium
Lineage: Bacteria; Pseudomonadati; Pseudomonadota; Gammaproteobacteria; Enterobacterales; Enterobacteriaceae
Description: partial 23S ribosomal RNA
Rfam family: Bacterial large subunit ribosomal RNA
Source: RNAcentral
CCCCGGUAAACGGCGGCCGUAACUAUAACGGUCCUAAGGUAGCGAAAUUCCUUGUCGGGUAAGUUCCGACCUGCACGAAUGGCGUAAUGAUGGCCAGGCUGUCUCCACCCGAGACUCAGUGAAAUUGAACUCGCUGUGAAGAUGCAGUGUACCCGCGGCAAGACGGAAAGACCCCGUGAACCUUUACUAUAGCUUGACACUGAACAUUGAGCCUUGAUGUGUAGGAUAGGUGGGAGGCUUUGAAGUGUGGACGCCAGUCUGCAUGGAGCCGACCUUGAAAUACCACCCUUUAAUGUUUGAUGUUCUAACGUGGACCCGUAAUCCGGGUUGCGGACAGUGUCUGGUGGGUAGUUUGACUGGGGCGGUCUCCUCCUAAAGAGUAACGGAGGAGCACGAAGGUUGGCUAAUCCUGGUCGGACAUCAGGAGGUUAGUGCAAUGGCAUAAGCCAGCUUGACUGCGAGCGUGACGGCGCGAGCAGGUGCGAAAGCAGGUCAUAGUGAUCCGGUGGUUCUGAAUGGAAGGGCCAUCGCUCAACGGAUAAAAGGUACUCCGGGGAUAACAGGCUGAUACCGCCCAAGAGUUCAUAU